GAUUUAGCCAAUAUUCAAUUUAUGAAUAGCGUUUUUAUAAUCCUCUGAGGGUUGUGAAAUCAAAAGCUUCUACUUUUAUUUCCUUAGGGAUAACUGCUGUUUAUUUUUCAAUUUAGAAUAUCUGGGAAGUAAUUGACCUGGAGAAGCAUUUCUCAAAAUGUGGCCCUAAUGACAGUCCCUGAGAUUGAAUGAUUGCAGUGACUGACAGCAAACCUCUCCCCAAGGAGCUUCUGUUGCUGACAGAACCUGAAGGAUGCUACAGUGGAUGGAAAAGCGAUGCUCUUGGAUUACCCUGGAAUUGAACUCCUGCUUUGUCUUGCAUGAUCCUCUAUUGGUGGGGCAUGACUCUGCUUGAAAAGAUAGAACUCAAACAAGGAAGCAUGGAAGAUGGGUUGAAUCUUGAAGGACCUUGCAUACACAAAGAUAAACUCUACAUGGGAGAAGGACCUCAAUGUGAGACAGGAAUCUAUCAAAAUCCUAGAGGAGAACAUAGGCAGUAACCUCUUUGACACUGGCCACAGCAACUUCUUUCAAGACACAUCUCCAAAGGCAAGGGAAACAAAAGCGAAAAUGAACCUUUGGGACUUCAUCAAGAUAAAAAUCUCCACAGCAAAGGAAACAGUCAACAAAACAAAGAGGCAACCCACGGAAUGGGAGAAGAUAUUUGCAAAUGAUACUACAGUAAGUCUUGAAAUCAGGACGAGUCACCAUCAUUCCUACCAGACUUUAUCUAAUCUCUUCCUGAAGUGCUGCACAUGUUAACUUGACCAUCUCCUUUAGCAAGUUUAUUUCAAAGAUCAUCUGCUCAGACUGUGAAGAAGAGGUCCAUCGUGGGUUGGCUGGAGAUUCUGAUCCAUGCUACUCUCACUUGGAUUCCAGGCCAGGAGGGCAGCACUCUCUGGAAACUCACCGGUUUCGAUAGAGGAAAGCAAGAGCAUGCAAUAAACUGUGAUGUGGCCAGUUGAGAGCAGAAAAAUCACUCAGAUGAAACCAGUUUUCAGAGGAACAAGAUGAGCUGAUUUGAAAACUCACGUAAAAUAAAAAGGGCCAUGAAACAUUUUGGAACAUUUCCGAUGAAGAAGGUAAGUAGAUUGUUCUCCUUUUUUCC
Mirounga angustirostris (Northern elephant seal) is the source of this 1108-nucleotide long non-coding RNA. RefSeq lists it as uncharacterized. NCBI's taxonomy places the organism in Eukaryota, Metazoa, Chordata, Mammalia, Carnivora, Phocidae. The transcript has 7 exons. The record is from RefSeq and is a predicted model, not a curated record.